RNAcentral lists this ribosomal RNA (388 nucleotides) under uncultured bacterium. RNAcentral describes it as "bacterial SSU rRNA". It matches the Rfam family "Bacterial small subunit ribosomal RNA", at positions 28 to 417 of the family's 1533-position model. The record is from RNAcentral.
GACGAACGCUGGCGGCGUGCUUAACACAUACAAGUCGAGCGGUAAGGCCCUUUCGGGGGUACACGAGCGGCGAACGGGUGAGUAACACGUGGGUGACCUGCCCUCAGCUCUGGGAUAAGCCUGGGAAACCGGGUCUAAUACUGGAUAUGACUCCAUGACGCAUGUUGUGGGGUGGAAAGCCUUGUGCGGCUGAGGAUGGGCCCGCGGCCUAUCAGCUCGUUGGUGGGGUGAUGGCCUACCAAGGCGACGACGGGUAGCCGGCCUGAGAGGGCGACCGGCCACACUGGGACUGAGACACGGCCCAGACUCCUACGGGAGGCAGCAGUGGGGAAUCUUGCGCAAUGGGCGAAAGCCUGACGCAGCGACGCCGCGUGAGGGAUGACGGCCU